This 365-nucleotide ribosomal RNA is filed under the name uncultured bacterium. RNAcentral's name for it is "bacterial SSU rRNA". It matches the Rfam family "Bacterial small subunit ribosomal RNA", at positions 521 to 885 of the family's 1533-position model. The record is from RNAcentral.
UAAUACGGAGGGUCCAAGCGUUAAUCGGAAUUACUGGGCGUAAAGCGCGCGUAGGCGGAUAWUUAAGUCAGAUGUGAAAUCCCUGGGCUCAACCUAGGAACUGCAUUUGAWACUGGKUAUCUAGAGUAUGGUAGAGGUGAGUGGAAUUUCAGGUGUAGCGGUGAAAUGCGUAGAGAUCUGAAGGAACAUCAGUGGCGAAGGCGACUCACUGGGCCAUUACUGACGCUGAGGUGCGAAAGCGUGGGUAGCAAACAGGAUUAGAUACCCUGGUAGUCCACGCCCUAAACGAUGUCAACUAGGUGUGUGAGAGUCUAACUCUUGCGUAUCGAAGCUAACGCGAUAAGUUGACCGCCUGGGGAGUACGG